Molecule: long non-coding RNA, 2262 nt
Organism: Polypterus senegalus (gray bichir)
Lineage: Eukaryota; Metazoa; Chordata; Cladistia; Polypteriformes; Polypteridae
Exons: 7
Source: RefSeq, a predicted model, not a curated record
AGACAGACAGACAGACAGAUAGAUAGAUAGAUAGAUAGAUAAAAUGCCAGAAACACGCUCUACCUUAAACUCUAGUUCAUUAUGAUCAACAGCUGGUGCUCAUUUAUUAAUGUCAAUAAUCAAGAUAUCUGACAGCACUGUGUAAUGUUUUAACAAUCUGUUCAUUCAUAUUACCAGAGGAUUACAGUAAAUAGUGCUUCAAGAAUCACACUACAUGUAACAUCUUCUGUGAGGAUGGUUAUAUUUAACAUAUCAUUCUCCAACCCAGAUUUACCUUUAUGAAUGGAGGGAGCCUAUCCUAUCAGCAGCACUGAGUGCAAUGCAGCAAACAGCCCAGGACAGACUACACAGUCUACUCACAAUGGACCAACUUGAAAUUGACACUUAAACACAUUCACACAGUUUUUCAUCUAUGUGCAUAUCAAGAGGACACUGUAUGUAUGAGACAAUAGCACCAACCAUCAUAUUUCAUUUGGGUAUGAAGAAGAUGCCAUUCUAUUUGCUAAUUACAUAUAAUACUUUGAUCUGGCAGUGAAUAAAAAAAAAUACUUCUAAUUACACCAUACAUUCUGAAUUAUGUCAUGUAUGCAUGUCUGAGGAUCACCUUGCCAACUCUGAUCAGGUAUGUAAUACUAUCCCAGGGUAAGAGGAAGCACUGUCCCCAACUGUCUUGACUCUUCUCUUCGCAGCUCAGAGAAAACAGCCCAGGAAUCAGAGUGACCAUGCCCCCAUCAAGCCCACACGUCAUGGGCCUUUGUCCAAAAUAUAUAAAACAGCCCAUCCCCAGAAGGUAGCUUUUCACUAAGUGUCCUGAACUCAGAGCAGAAUGAAGCUUUCAGCUAGACACAAAGAUUUUUGAAGAACUGUAGCCUUUGGUAAUCAUAAUUGGCAAAAGACAGCAUGUCUUGAUUAUGAAAAGAAAAUAAAGGCACUACAGGAAAAACACAUGAGCACAGGGAAUCCAUGAAAACUUCAGACAGAAGAAAAAUCGGAACAUUAGGCUGUAUGGCUUCACACUCCCUGCUGCUUGCGGGUGCCUCUUGAUCCCACAACCAUCAGUAAUGUAACCAGGACAAGCCAGGCAAAUGAGGACACACAAUGCAAGGGAACGCUGAGCUUAAGGGCUGUUUAUAUUGAUUUGCAUAUUCAAAGAGGCAUAAUUCUUGGAGGAACUGGGGCUGGACAGCAGCUAAGGCAAAACUCUUGGCAGUGGACAACUUGAAAUGCAGAGCUGUCCAGAGGUGUAGAGAGAGGCCACAAAAGCAGAAGACUUGAUGCAGUCUGUUGCAGAGCCAUCCAGGAGAGGGCAUGGCAACCUUGAGGUUGCAGUGUCAGAGGUGACAACUCCAGGUCCACGGUAACCAGCCCAGGUGACUGACUGAUUGGGAUGGUCCAGGAUCCUGUUGAGGACCAGGAAAGAGAAGGUUUCAAAUUCUGCAGAGAUGAACUGAGGUCCAUUAUCUGAAAUCAGUUCCUAUGGGUAUCCUCCUCUGCUGAAAACUGAUGUAAGGAAUGCAAUCACAGUAGCAGAUGUUACUUGAGAGGGACGAAGCACCACCCCUCCCCCCCAUUUAGAAGCAAGGACCAUCUGCAAGUUGUCCAUCCUCCCAGACCUUAGUUUGGUCGGCAUAAAACUGAGCAGAUCAGAAUUUCAAGGGGACCCGCCUCCCGGAGCCUACUUCCAUUGUCAUUAAACUGAGUGGCUAACUUCUCAGACCUAACUUUAAUCAUCAUUGAUCCAAGAAGAGCAAAACUUCAAGGGGGAAACCUUACUUCAAUCGUCAUUAAACCUAGUUGCAAAAAACUUCAAGUUGGAAGACAGAAGAGCUUAAUGCUUGUCCACCCAGUUUAUUUCAUCCACUUUGUAAUUUUUAGCUUUCUGUGACAACAAUGAUUUCAUCAAGUUUGGAAAAUGGAUUUGGGAGGUCAAUCCAUAUUAUUUUGCCACUAAUUAGGAGCUAUUUUUUUCACAAGACCUUUCACAUUUUUUUGAUGUACCAACAUCAGGAAAUUUAUUGUUCUUCCUUAUAAAUGUAGCGAACUACAGAAUGUAUCUAUGGCCCAUAAAUGCAAAAGAAUGUUCUUUAACCAGAUAUAGAAGUGAAAGUUUCUCUGCUAAAGUCAUCACCUUCCAUUCCAUUUCAGCUCAAAGUUCACUUGUUGAACUGGUAACACGCCUAAAUCUCAUACCUAAAAAAAGAACAAAUACAAAAAAAAUACAAAAUAUUGCUCUUAACAUUUAAAGCUCUCCACAACCUCACU